GAUCAGACUUGGUAUUUUGCAUGCUGCUCUCUCGGGGGCGGCCGCUGCGGUUUACCGGGCCAGCAUCGGUUUGGAGCGGCAGGAUAAUGGCGGAGGAAUGUGGCACGGCUUCUGCUGUGUGUUAUAGCCUCUGACGAUGCUGCCAGCCUAGACCGAGGACUGCGGUUUUUAACCUAGGAUGUUGGCAUAAUGAUCUUAAGUCGCCCGUCUUGA
This 213-nucleotide ribosomal RNA is filed under the name Candida albicans. RNAcentral's name for it is "partial 28S rRNA". Lineage: Eukaryota; Fungi; Ascomycota; Pichiomycetes; Serinales; Debaryomycetaceae. The record is from RNAcentral.